RNAcentral lists this long non-coding RNA (1138 nucleotides) under Heterocephalus glaber (naked mole-rat). Its description in RNAcentral is "lncRNA (ENSHGLG00000041779.1)". Lineage: Eukaryota; Metazoa; Chordata; Mammalia; Rodentia; Bathyergidae. The record is from RNAcentral.
CAUUCCUGUGCCGUGACUUCCCCUUCCCCUUCCCCUUCUGGCGCCCUCCUCCCAAAGGGCCUGAGAUCUCUCUUACGGCGGCCGGCGGGCCCUCCUUCAUCCGGGGUCAUCCACAGGCUCUGAGGGAGCGAGGGGCAGGGGACGAGCACGCAGCCCGCAGAUCCUCAAACUCACUCCAUUCUUCAAUUUUCUAAAGAAUUCCUCACGAGCCCCUCCUUGGGGUCAGCUCCUCCUAGACCAGGCCCAGCAGGCAGGGCUGCAGGAGGGGCUCACACUCCCAAGAGGCUCCGGGUCGUGUAGGGACAUCUUCCAACACAUAACCCAAACGCCGACGCCGACACCGAGGGCAGUUUCAGGGAGCAGAGGCGCUCACCACAGGACAACAGUCAAGAGGCAAGAGGCGGCAGCAAGGGAGCGCCGCGCCCCGGGACCCUGGAAGCCCGCCCGUCCCCGCCCCCCGCGGCCGCGACCUCAGCGCUCCCGGUGCGGUUCCCGGAAACUCCUCGAUUUCCCUGUGGCCUCCGCUUUUGCAAGAAACCGAAACCCAAGCCCCGCCCCUCCGGCGCGGCCUCGCGGGACCCGGCUGCUCUCAGCAGGGUGAGGGCACCCGCGCCCCCGGCCCCGGUGGACCCGGCAGACCAAGCCGCGUGCGCGCAGGGCCGGGGAGCUCGGACCCCAGCGGGCUGCAUCUCCUAGAGGCUCAGACCCCCCGCGCCUCCCACGCGAGAGUCCCAAACCUAACCCGCGUCUCUCGGGUUGCAGGGGGCGGUGGAGCGCAGCGGCAGUGACCUAACGGGGCCUCGCCUGCAGCUUGGGAGGCGGCUCGCGGUGUACUGGCCACAUGGGGUGCGGAGUGUGGGGGCCCAGGAGCGUUUACAAAGAGCUGCCCCCUGCCCACCCCGCGUUGCUAGUUUCGCGGCGGCGGCGUGUCUUGGGCGCAGAGGUGUCUGGCGACCUGCCCGGGGUCACACAGCCUGCAGCUGGAGGCCGCGCACGCCCUGGCCGCAGCGGGAGGCGGGGCGCCCAGGCCACCCGCAGGGCGAGCCUCGUGCACCCCAACUCUCCCAAGUCUGAUUUCUGAGAGCAUUUCCUGUUCCGCACACACGUCAGUCAGCAGAUGAUCUGCCUGGAGGUUACC